This 496-nucleotide ribosomal RNA is filed under the name uncultured bacterium. RNAcentral describes it as "partial 16S ribosomal RNA". It matches the Rfam family "Bacterial small subunit ribosomal RNA", at positions 29 to 507 of the family's 1533-position model. The record is from RNAcentral.
AUGAACGCUGGCGGCGUGCCUAAUCCAUGCAAGUCGAGCGCACAGACGAGGAGCUUGCUCCUCUGACGUUAGCGGCGGACGGGUGAGUAACACGUGGAUAACCUACCUAUAAGACUGGGAUAACUUCGGGAAACCGGAGCUAAUACCGGAUAAUAUAUUGAACCGCAUGGUUCAAUAGUGAAAGACGGUUUUGCUGUCACUUAUAGAUGGAUCCGCGCCGCAUUAGCUAGUUGGUAAGGUAACGGCUUACCAAGGCAACGAUGCGUAGCCGACCUGAGAGGGUGAUCGGCCACACUGGAACUGAGACACGGUCCAGACUCCUACGGGAGGCAGCAGUAGGGAAUCUUCCGCAAUGGGCGAAAGCCUGACGGAGCAACGCCGCGUGAGUGAUGAAGGUCUUCGGAUCGUAAAACUCUGUUAUUAGGGAAGAACAAAUGUGUAAGUAACUAUGCACGCCUUGACGGUACCUAAUCAGAAAGCCACGGCUAACUACGUG